AAGAUUAAGCCAUGCAUGUCUAAGUGUAAGCAAAUUAUACUGUGAAACUGCGAAUGGCUCAUUAAAUCAGUUAUCGUUUAUUUGAUAUUACCUACUACUUGGAUAACCGUGGUAAUUCUAGAGCUAAUACAUGCACAAAAGCCCCGACUUCGGAAGGGGUGUAUUUAUUAGAUAAAAACCAAUGCCUUCGGGCUCGUUGGUGAUUCAUAAUAACUUUUCGGAGCGCAU
RNAcentral lists this ribosomal RNA (228 nucleotides) under uncultured fungus. RNAcentral's name for it is "partial 18S ribosomal RNA". It matches the Rfam family "Eukaryotic small subunit ribosomal RNA", at positions 40 to 274 of the family's 1831-position model. Lineage: Eukaryota; Fungi. The record is from RNAcentral.